GAUGAACGCUGGCGGCGCGCCUAACACAUGCAAGUCGAACGAUUAAAGCACCUUCGGGUGUGUAUAAAGUGGCGAACGGCUGAGUAACACGUGGGCAACCUGCCCCUUUCAUUGGGAUAGCCACGGGAAACCGUGGAUAAUACCGAAUACUUCGAGACUUCCGCAUGGAAGACUCGAGAAAGCUCCGGCGGAGAGGGAUGGGCCCGCGGCCUGUUAGCUUGUUGGUGGGGUAACGGCCUACCAAGGCAAUGAUGGGUAGCUGGGUUGAGAGACCGACCAGCCAGAUUGGGACUGAGACACGGCCCAGACUCCUACGGGAGGCAGCAGUGGGGAAUCUUGCACAAUGGGCGAAAGCCUGAUGCAGCGACGCCGCGUGCGGGAUGAAGGCCUUCGGGUUGUAAACCGCUUUCAGCAGGGACGAGGCGAAAGUGGCGGUACCUGCAGAAGAAGCCCCGUCUAACUACGUG
This 467-nucleotide ribosomal RNA is filed under the name uncultured bacterium. RNAcentral's name for it is "partial 16S ribosomal RNA". It matches the Rfam family "Bacterial small subunit ribosomal RNA", at positions 28 to 507 of the family's 1533-position model. The record is from RNAcentral.